GACGAACGCUGGCGGCGUGCUUAACACAUGCAAGUCACGGGGGGCUCGCAAGGGCAACCGGCGAACGGGUGCGUAACACGUGAGCAACCUGCCGAUCUGAGGGGGGAUAGCCGGCCCAACGGCCGGGUAAUACCGCAUACGCUUGUGUGGCCUCAUGGCUAGACAAGGAAACCUCCGGGGCAGAUCGAGGGGCUCGCGGCCUAUCAGCUAGUUGGCGGUGUAAUGGACCACCAAGGCGACGACGGGUAGCUGGUCUGAGAGGAUGGCCAGCCACAUUGGGGACUGAGAGACGGCCCAGACUCCUACGGGAGGCAGCAGUGGGGAAUCUUGCGCAAUGGCCGAAAGGCUGACGCAGCGACGCCGCGUGUGGGAUGAAGGCUUUC
RNAcentral lists this ribosomal RNA (383 nucleotides) under uncultured bacterium. RNAcentral's name for it is "bacterial SSU rRNA". It matches the Rfam family "Bacterial small subunit ribosomal RNA", at positions 28 to 419 of the family's 1533-position model. The record is from RNAcentral.